Molecule: long non-coding RNA, 1018 nt
Filed under: Malus domestica (apple)
Lineage: Eukaryota; Viridiplantae; Streptophyta; Magnoliopsida; Rosales; Rosaceae
Description: long non-coding RNA (MDOM_LNC019146)
Source: RNAcentral
UAGCAUGAUUCCGCCUUUAAUUGUUAAUUGCAUGCUUAUUGAUGUUGCUUAAAUGAACAUGUUUUCACAAAAUUUUCCUUCAAGUGGUAUCAGAGCCUAGGUCUAGUAGUUGGUGAAUCCUUUUGUGUUUUGUAGUUCAUAGUUUGUGAUUUAAAAGUUGUAAUUGUUACAAGCUUUAUUCUUGUUUUUUGAAUGUAAAUUUUGCUAGAAAAUUUGCCAUCUCAAAUGUUGUAGAUGUAGUUCAUAUGAGCAUGAAUAUUGGAGCUAAAAUUUGGUGCCAUGACUUUGGGAAUUUUCGGCCAAAUCCAAAGGGUGGAUUUUUGGGUUCUUGUUUGACUUGUUAAAAGUGUUUUCAAGUGACUUUUGGAACCCCUAUGUACCCUAGUUUGGUUAGAUGUUAUUUCCCUAAAGUUUGAAUGGUUUUGGAAUGUUUUUGGGUGGAAAAAGUUCAUGGAAAAAUUUUGGGUUUUUCAUGAAUGUUCUUCAUUGUUCUUGACAUUUUUGCCAAGAACAAAAAGGUUUGUGUUUUGAUUCAAAGUUUUGAUUUAUUUCAUAAAGUUUAUGUUUUAUGCAUUUUCAAAUGUUUAAAUGUUUUAGAUAUUUGUUUAAAUGGUGUAAGAGGUGUAAGAGAUGUAAGAGAUAUGGUGAUGGGUGUGUAAGGAUUAAUUUCCUUUCACACACACCACUUGCACCACUUGCAAGCUUUAUGUCUAAAACUCACAAAUCAACACACACAUCACUCUAUCCUCUUCCAAAACCGGCCACCCUUGCAAGUGGGGUACUUUUGGGGCUUUUAUGCAAUUACAUAAAGUUUUGAUACUUUUGUGUAUUUGCACUUUGGCCCAAAAGUUUACGUUUUUACGUUUAGGUCCAAAAACGCUAAAGGACAAAUUGUUUUGAUCCUUUAAUGAAGUUUUUGCAUUGAUUAAAUUUUGGGUUCUAAUGUAAUUACAUGAAGUAGUGGACUUUUGUGUCUUUACAAAGUGACCCCAAAAGUUUUGCAAUAUAGCCCAAAAGU